UUUCAGGGCGCGCUGGUCUGGUUUGCAGUGCCCAGCAUCUGCAUCCUUUUACCUAAGGGCUUUCUCCAGCUACCAGAGUUCAUCUUGCACGUGCGCAAGGUAGGCUGGAAGGGCUCAGUAGUUAACCCCACCACCACGACUGCCGGGCGGCCUUCAACCAACAACUGACCAAAGCUGGUAUAAAUAAGUAACCCAGCUCCCUUGCCACUCAGGCGGGAUAAGUCUAAGGAUUGCAUUGUAUCCUGUUUUCCAGUGUCCCCCAGCAGGGAUUAGGCUCAUUGUGGUAACUUGCUGGAUAAUGUGACAUUUACUGGCCUUCCCUUGCUUGUCUCACUUCCUCACUCCCUGCUCGUGCUUCCUUCAUUUUCUACGUGAACUAUGGGCACUGAAAUCCUUGUUUCAAGGUCUUCUUGGUACCAGAAGUUCUUCUAAGAAGCAGUGUCUCUGGAAAUUGCGUCACAGAUGGGAACAAGGACCAGCUGCUGGUGUCAGGUGAGGUCUGUUAGCAUCACAAGAACUAAGACUGUGGGUAGUCUUAGAAUUGGGUUGGGACACAGGGGAAGAAGAAUGCAAUAAGAUUGGCAGUAUACGGGAGAUCAACCGUAAUUAUUGAGACCUCUGGAUGGCUCAGCUGGUUGAGCAUCCAACUCUCGAUCUCAGCUCAGGUCUCCAUCUCAGGGUGGUGAGUUCAAGCCCUGUGUUGGGCUCCACAUUGGGUAUGAAGCCUUUUUUUUUUUUUUUUUUAAGGGACGGGUGGUGAUUAUAAGGACUGUGGGGUUGCUUGGUUGCUUAGAGGUGAAGUGCAGCAGGAACACUGAAAGAGAAUGAGAGGCUAAAAUCAUCCAGCUAUCAGCUCAAGUUACGGUGUAAAAGCCAGAAAGCCCUCAUUAAAGCCCUUAAAAAGAGCUCUCCUGUAGCCAGACAGCAGAUGUGCUUAAAACCAAGCACAGGAUCUGACUGUGUGAACAGCAAACUUGCAAAGCAUGUGGAAUUCAUAGCCCCGGCAAGUCUCCAAUGCUCAAGUCAAGGUCCUGAUAGGGCAGGGGUACUGGAAUUGACCAUGUGUUCCAGGUAUGGAUUUGCCUUUCCUGGCUGCAGUGCCUCAGCUAGUUCUACUGUCUGAGGGCUCACAGAAUGUCUGAUUUAUUGUCAUGGAUCUGCAGGACAUUGCCUUGCCAAAAGACUCAUUUUAUAGCAAAGAAUGUAUCAUAAGAACCAUGGGAUCUACUGGUUCCACUUCAUACCACAUCACCCAGAAACUGUUCGCCUAAUGUACGAUUCGAAUGACUUCGUAAAAAUGCAGAUUACAGUCAGUGGGAGAAAUCUGGGAGGAAGAGACAGCAGGGAAACCUUUUGGGAGACUGGAAUCAUAUGCCAUCACCACCACCAUCACCACUACCACCGCCAUGGACGUUUGUAGAGUGGUUUCACUAUAUAAGUUGUUUUCAAACUGGGUUGUGGGGAAUCCUAAGGGCUCUGAGAACCCAGCAGGUUCUGCCAACAAUGAAAAACUUGGUGCCAAAUAAUAAAUAUUUAAAAACA
Long non-coding RNA from Herpailurus yagouaroundi (jaguarundi), 1542 nucleotides. RefSeq lists it as uncharacterized. The record is from RefSeq and is a predicted model, not a curated record. Lineage: Eukaryota; Metazoa; Chordata; Mammalia; Carnivora; Felidae. The transcript has 2 exons.